Pelobates cultripes (western spadefoot toad) is the source of this 497-nucleotide non-coding RNA. The record is from the annotation of a GenBank genome assembly. NCBI's taxonomy places the organism in Eukaryota, Metazoa, Chordata, Amphibia, Anura, Pelobatidae.
CUAGAUUUGUUCUUCUACCCAUUGUACUGAUGAAAAUGAUUGGACAUAGGAGUUUAUCACCAAGGUAGGAAUAUUUGAAAAUUCAGAAAGGAACGUCAAAUGUUGGGCAAAACCCCCUCCCCCCAAAAACAACUCAGUUGAAGAUGUUUACCAAUUUAAAUGUUUGUCCUAAAAUAUGCAAUUCCUGGACUAUUUCCACAACUUAAAUUCUAGUGAGUAAACCUCAUGGUUUGAGGUGGUAUAUAUGUUUAAGCUACAGGAUGUUCCAAGAAAAAACCACAGAAAGACAUGAUAUCGAUUACAAUAGAUUGCUGUUGUGCUAAAAUGUGUUUCAUAAUGUUACAUUACAUUUAUGUUUUCUGUUGACCUGGAGGUAUAUGGCCACAGUAAUAAUUUUUUUCAGUUUUAUAAAAAGGGCAGCAUUAUAUUAGAGAACUGCAACUCUUUUAUACAAUUUGUAAAAUUUACUUAUUUCAGCUGUGAAGAAUGCAUUUUGA